UGCCAGCCGCCGCGGUAACACGGGGGGCGCAAGCGUUAUUCGGAAUUAUUGGGCGUAAAGCGCACGUAGGCGGUCCGCUAAGUCAGAUGUGAAAUCCCUCGGCUCAACCGAGGAACUGCACCUGAUACUGGCGGACUCGAGGACGGUAGGGGUGAGUGGAACUCCAGGUGGAGCGGUGAAAUGCGUAGAUAUCUGGAGGAACACCGGUGGCGAAGGCGACUCACUGGACCGUAUCUGACGCUGAGGUGCGAAAGCUAGGGUAGCAAACGGGAUUAGAUA
RNAcentral lists this ribosomal RNA (279 nucleotides) under uncultured bacterium. RNAcentral's name for it is "partial 16S ribosomal RNA". It matches the Rfam family "Bacterial small subunit ribosomal RNA", at positions 506 to 784 of the family's 1533-position model. The record is from RNAcentral.